Molecule: ribosomal RNA, 249 nt
Filed under: uncultured bacterium
Lineage: Bacteria
Description: partial 16S ribosomal RNA
Rfam family: Bacterial small subunit ribosomal RNA
Source: RNAcentral
UACGAAGGGGGCUAGCGUUGUUCGGAAUUACUGGGCGUAAAGGGCGCGUAGGCGGUGUGUCAAGUCAGGCGUGAAAGCCCCGGGCUCAACCUGGGAACCGCGCUUGAGACUGGCACGCUAGAGUUCGGGAGAGGAUGGUGGAAUUCCCAGUGUAGAGGUGAAAUUCGUAGAUAUUGGGAAGAACACCGAUGGCGAAGGCGGUGCCUGGGCUUGCUGACGCUGAUGCGCGAAGCGUGGGAGCGGAUCCGG